AGUGAACGCUGGCGGUAGGCCUAACACAUGCAAGUCGAACGGCAGCACAGUAAGAGCUUGCUCUUACGGGUGGCGAGUGGCGGACGGGUGAGGAAUACAUCGGAAUCUACUUUUUCGUGGGGGAUUACGUAGGGAAACUUACGCUAAUACCGCAUACGACCUACGGGUGAAAGCAGGGGAUCUUCGGACCUUGCGCGAUUGAAUGAGCCGAUGUCGGAUUAGCUAGUUGGCGGGGUAAAGGCCCACCAAGGCGACGAUCCGUAGCUGGUCUGAGAGGAUGAUCAGCCACACUGGAACUGAGACACGGUCCAGACUCCUACGGGAGGCAGCAGUGGGGAAUAUUGGACAAUGGGCGCAAGCCUGAUCCAGCCAUACCGCGUGGGUGAAGAAGGCCUUCGGGUUGUAAAGCCCUUUUGUUGGGAAAGAAAAGCAGCAGGUUAAUACCCCGCUGUUCUGACGGUACCCAAAGAAUAAGCACCGGCUAACUUCGUG
Molecule: ribosomal RNA, 492 nt
Filed under: uncultured bacterium
Lineage: Bacteria
Description: partial 16S ribosomal RNA
Rfam family: Bacterial small subunit ribosomal RNA
Source: RNAcentral